AUUGAACGCUGGCGGAAUGCUUUACACAUGCAAGUCGAACGGCAGCACGGACUUCGGUCUGGUGGCGAGUGGCGAACGGGUGAGUAAUGUAUCGGAACGUGCCCAGUCGUGGGGGAUAACGUAGUGAAAAUUACGCUAAUACCGCAUACGAUCUAUGGAUGAAAGCGGGGGAUCGCAAGACCUCGCGCGAUUGGAGCGGCCGAUAUCAGAUUAGGUAGUUGGUGGGGUAAAGGCCCACCAAGCCAACGAUCUGUAGCUGGUCUGAGAGGACGACCAGCCACACUGGUACUGAGACACGGUCCAGACUCCUACGGGAGGCAGCAGUGGGGAAUUUUGGACAAUGGGCGAAAGCCUGAUCUAGCCAUUCCGCGUGCAGGAUGAAGGCCCUCGGGUUGUAAACUGCUUUUGUACAGAACGAAAAGGUUUCUACUAAUACUAGGAGCUCAUGACGGUACUGUAAGAAUAAGCACCGGCUAACUACAUGCCAGCCGCCGCCGUAA
RNAcentral lists this ribosomal RNA (500 nucleotides) under uncultured bacterium. RNAcentral describes it as "partial 16S ribosomal RNA". It matches the Rfam family "Bacterial small subunit ribosomal RNA", at positions 30 to 523 of the family's 1533-position model. The record is from RNAcentral.